This 273-nucleotide ribosomal RNA is filed under the name uncultured Bacteroides sp. Its description in RNAcentral is "partial 16S ribosomal RNA". It matches the Rfam family "Bacterial small subunit ribosomal RNA", at positions 69 to 339 of the family's 1533-position model. Lineage: Bacteria; Pseudomonadati; Bacteroidota; Bacteroidia; Bacteroidales; Bacteroidaceae. The record is from RNAcentral.
AUGGUCUUAGCUUGCUAAGGCCGAUGGCGACCGGCGCACGGGUGAGUAACGCGUAUCCAACCUGCCUUACACUCUUGGACAGCCUUCUGAAAGGGAGAUUAAUACAAGAUGGCAUCAUGAGUUCACAUGUUCACAUGAUUAAAGGUAUUCCGGUAGACGAUGGGGAUGCGUUCCAUUAGAUAGUAGGCGGGGUAACGGCCCACCUAGUCUUCGAUGGAUAGGGGUUCUGAGAGGAAGGUCCCCACAUUGGGACUGAGACACGGCCCAAACUCC